Molecule: long non-coding RNA, 366 nt
Organism: Erigeron canadensis
Lineage: Eukaryota; Viridiplantae; Streptophyta; Magnoliopsida; Asterales; Asteraceae
Exons: 2
Source: RefSeq, a predicted model, not a curated record
UAUACCUUAUGAUAUUACAUAUAUCUACACAUGUAAUUUGCUCACCCACUUUCACUGAAUGUAGAAAGCAGAUAUAUUGUUAUAUAUAUCGUGACUUUAGUUGGUCUCUUAAUCUUGGAGCGAGGCUCUCAUUUGAAAAACUCAUGCUCCGAUCGAUCUGUGCCUUUCCUUCUCUUCCUUCCGUCUUAACAAAGGAGGCUUUUUUGGUACCGAUGGUUUAGGUGGUUUUUAAGCAGGGACAUCUGAAUUCAUCAGUCGGUACGGUACCCUAAUUUAGUUUGUUUCUAUUAACUUUUUGUAUUUUCUUCCAUAUAUAAUGUUACUCUAAAACGUAUUCCCAUUUUUAAAUUGUCAUUUCAUUUACUA